AAGCCCAGCAACUCAAUCUUUGUAAUGUCACACCACAGCUUUUAUCAAAAUGGCCCUUGAACAAAUCAUUUUCAUUGUAAUCACAUCAGGCUUCUUAGGAAUUAAUGGUGACAUUAAGCUUCAAGAGUCAAGUCCUGUAACUCUACAGCCGGGUCAGUCACAUCAGCUGUCCUGUGAAGCCUCAGGGUUUACUUUCAGUAGCUAUGCUAUGUACUGGAUUCGUCAGCCUCCUGGUAAAGGACUGGAAUGGUUGGCAGUAAUCAGCUAUGAUGGUAGUUAUCUGAAUUAUGCAGCAUCUGUUAAAGGACGAUUCACCAUCAGAAGAGACAAUGCCAAUAACAUGGUCUAUUUAAUGAUGAACAACCUGCAGACUUCAGACACUGCUGUGUAUUACUGUACUAAAAAUUGUGCUCCCCACAGUGAGAUAAAUUAA
Polypterus senegalus (gray bichir) is the source of this 433-nucleotide non-coding RNA. NCBI's taxonomy places the organism in Eukaryota, Metazoa, Chordata, Cladistia, Polypteriformes, Polypteridae. The record is from the annotation of a RefSeq genome assembly.